UUUAGAGUUUAAUAAAUUCUUGCUUACAACAAGGAGUUCUUUAACUCUCUUU
This 52-nucleotide transfer RNA is filed under the name Sancassania sp. PBK-2009. Its description in RNAcentral is "tRNA-Val". The record is from RNAcentral. Lineage: Eukaryota; Metazoa; Arthropoda; Arachnida; Sarcoptiformes; Acaridae.